This 353-nucleotide ribosomal RNA is filed under the name uncultured bacterium. RNAcentral describes it as "bacterial SSU rRNA". It matches the Rfam family "Bacterial small subunit ribosomal RNA", at positions 917 to 1271 of the family's 1533-position model. The record is from RNAcentral.
GGGCCCGCACAAGCGGUGGAGUAUGUGGUUUAAUUCGAUGCAACGCGAAGAACCUUACCAGGGUUUGACAUCCUGCGAAUUUCUGGGAAACCGGAAAGUGCCUUCGGGAGCGCAGUGACAGGUGGUGCAUGGCUGUCGUCAGCUCGUGUCGUGAGAUGUUGGGUUAAGUCCCGCAACGAGCGCAACCCACGUCUUUAGUUGCCAGCAUUUAGUUGGGCACUCUAGAGAGACCGCCGGUGAUAAACCGGAGGAAGGUGUGGAUGACGUCAAGUCAUCAUGCCCCUUACAUCCUGGGCUACACACGUACUACAAUGGUAUCUACAACAGGAAGCAAAACGGCGACGUUAAGCAAA